Molecule: transfer RNA, 67 nt
Filed under: Sphenomorphus melanopogon
Lineage: Eukaryota; Metazoa; Chordata; Lepidosauria; Squamata; Scincidae
Description: tRNA-His
Rfam family: tRNA
About the family: Transfer RNA (tRNA) molecules are approximately 80 nucleotides in length. Their secondary structure includes four short double-helical elements and three loops (D, anti-codon, and T loops). Further hydrogen bonds mediate the characteristic L-shaped molecular structure. tRNAs have two regions of fundamental functional importance: the anti-codon, which is responsible for specific mRNA codon recognition, and the 3' end, to which the tRNAs corresponding amino acid is attached (by aminoacyl-tRNA synthetases). tRNAs cope with the degeneracy of the genetic code in two manners: having more than one tRNA (with a specific anti-codon) for a particular amino acid; and 'wobble' base-pairing, i.e. permitting non-standard base-pairing at the 3rd anti-codon position.
Source: RNAcentral
GUUAAUAUAGUUUAACAAAAACAUUAGGUUGUGGUCCUAAAAAUAGAAGUUUAACUCUUCUUAUUCA